This 74-nucleotide transfer RNA is filed under the name Candidatus Endomicrobiellum siamense. RNAcentral describes it as "tRNA-Pro". It matches the Rfam family "tRNA". Rfam says of the family: Transfer RNA (tRNA) molecules are approximately 80 nucleotides in length. Their secondary structure includes four short double-helical elements and three loops (D, anti-codon, and T loops). Lineage: Bacteria; Pseudomonadati; Elusimicrobiota; Endomicrobiia; Endomicrobiales; Endomicrobiaceae. The record is from RNAcentral.
CGGGGUGUGGCUCAGUUGGUUAGAGUGCACGGUUCGGGACCGUGAGGUCGCUGGUUCAAGUCCAGUCACCCCGA